Zootermopsis nevadensis is the source of this 3061-nucleotide non-coding RNA. NCBI's taxonomy places the organism in Eukaryota, Metazoa, Arthropoda, Insecta, Blattodea, Termopsidae. The record is from RefSeq and is a predicted model, not a curated record.
UAUUGUCGUACUUUAAAACAGUGCAAGCUGUGAAAAUUUGGAACUUUCUUGUCAGUUACAACAGAGACAUUAAAGGCCUAAUAUAAACCUCUCCCGUUCAUCACUGUGUGUCUAAUAACGAUAGGCCACAACGCAAAUUGGUAGAAAAUUCUCUCCGAUGACGCACUGAAUACAAACGUUACGCUCCGGAACAGCUGAGAAACUCACAUUCAUGACACAUAUGACUUCAGGAAAAAAAAUUCUUGAAGUACUGACAUGAAGUCACCAGACAGCCUGUAGAAAUAUUAUUCAAAAAGAUCGAAGACCCGUACACUGACAUUAAUUCCAGACUGUGUCAUAAAACUACCGUCGACUUCCUUCUGAUAGUGAAAUCUAAAGUUUCGAAGACUGGGAUCAAGAAAGUACACUGCUUAGACGCCUUGUUUGUUUCUCCUUUCCCUUUAGAAAGUAAAAUAAUUCUUCAGAUAUAGCGUCGAAACUUGAGUGAACUGUUCAACCAACGUCCCACGAUCCUCUACCCGCAUUACCAUAAGAUUAAAAAUACAUUAAUGGUCUGGAAGAUAAUUCAUUCAAAAGUAUUAAUUUGUAAAUAUUUAUUUGCUGCAGAAGUAUUCAUACAUAUUAAACACACUUAAAAUGCUGAGAAUGUAUAUUUUAAAUAUUAAAUUCCAAUGUAAGUCAUGAAACUAUUAUUAGUUCAGGAAACAAAACAACGUAUAAUUUACAUGGCUUGAUUUUGCUUAAUGUCUUUAGUUAAUACGAUACACUCCUUUGAUUGGGUAUGUGCAUAGUGUAACGUAGGUUUCUGAGAUGGAUCAAACAGCAAUGCCGCAUGUACCUUAUAUUACAAAAUGCAAGCUACACUGCCUUUAAUGCAUGGAAAUAUCAUUACUGAUUGGUUGAUGUUCAAUCUCACACGAAAAAACUAGUUGCAAACAUUGCGUAUUGCCAGCUUUUUGUAAUUUCUGCCACAAGUUCAUUCCGUUCGAGGAAUUUCUUCAGACACCAUGCACAGCGUUGUAAGAAACUCAUUUAGGAGAGUUCGUUUUCAGUGACAUUGCCUUCAGUUACUUAAGUUCAAACUUUACAUAAUGAAGUUUGCCUCUCAAGCCCAAAAUCAGCUGACUGGAAAUGUCUUGAAUGGCAUCUUUUUUUUAUUAAAUUUUAUUACCUCUGUCAUACUACAAAAAGCAACUAUAUAAUUCUUUUACUGCACUUCAACAAUUCGUUUGUUCACAACAAAUAACAGGUUAUAGAAAUACCAAGUGGCAACUCUAUCACUGUGCUGAUAAAAUAAUCAGCGGGCAUCCGAUAAAUUUGUAUUUAACAUGAAUUUGUGGGCAAGAAAUGCAAAAUAUGAACUUGUUCUAACGGAACAAUCAACAAAAUGUAAUGCAAGUGUCAUUGCUGUUCAACAGGAAAUUCUGUCCAUCAGGUAGUCUAAAAGCAAAAAGAAAUAUUCAAAAUUUGUAGCUGAUAUUCAGAAUAGACCUCUAUCAAAGUCACGAAAAACCAACGAUAUAUCUUCGUAGCCUAAUGACACUUAUGGGUAGUCGUUCAUAAAGGAUGCUAAUGCAGGACUAAGGACACGUCCUUCCCGAAAACGGCAUGAACGAGCUGUUCAGCAUAGACUGGAACAUAGCUGGUUCUUGAAAGGAUAUGAUUUAAUCUUGUACUGAAGUUUUUGGCAACAGUCAAAUUGAAUUUCCAUGUCCCUCACACCUGAUUUAUUUGUUUAUAGACAGCACUGCACAUAUUUUGAAUUAUUUGCCAUCCAUAAUUAGUUGGAUAUUUGGACCAAGUUUGGGAGUCUGUGCAGCCAGACACGACAACCAAACUUCUCCAAUUUCAAAAUCAUGAUUUCUGUGAUAGAUAUUUAUUACAAUAAAUUUAGAAUGAUGAAUUUGUAAAGGAUUAGAAUUCUUAGCAAAUGGACAUUAAAACAUUCUAAAUAAUUUGCAGCAUUUGAACAGUACAGCUGAACUGUAACAAUCAUUGGACUCUGUCUUACAUUUCAUUUGAAAGAUGGCUAAUUGUAAAAUGAAAGACAACUCGUGUGAGAUUUUCUUGCUAGUUUAAUAUCUAGGCUAGAUCAUCAACAGAAGAGAAAAUGAAGAUCCACAAGAGCAGAAUUCAAUGUGACUUCCACUUCUAAAAGUUUCCUGUUUCUAUUACAGUGCCCUUUUGCUUUAUGGCGGACAUCUUACAAACAGAUGCUUUCCCAAAUUCUGGUGCUGUAGUGUAAGAUGGAGUUCCAGUGGUUGCGUAUAAUAUUAUUUUUGCCUGCAAUACUGAAGUGUAAAUGGUUCUAAAAUUACAGAAGAAUGAAUUUCCAAACAACUUAGGAAAAUCAGAUAGCAUAAAGUGGGGCAGGUCAGUUGUUUGUCUUGUCAGGUUCUUCCAAUUAGGUCUCAAUUAUUGUCGAUAACAUCUUGCAUCUACAGAUAUUAAAUGUUGUAUUAUUUGCAAAAAAUUUUUGUUGGUGAUUCUAUAUGAUUCAGCACCAGAAAUGGGAUAUUUGUGUGGAUUCAGAAACAACUGACUUGCACGCUAAUGCAUCAGUGGACAAUACAGUGAAACCUCCAAGGAACCAAAUCUUCCUUUAAUUAGGUGAGGUUACAGUGAACUGAACCAGACCACUUUGUGGGAAUCCACAUUUUUAAAGGAAACAAAGUAACCAGUCUAUGCCACAACUGCAAAUGCGUGUGUGAACACAGUUCCUUUGACAGUGUACGAACUGUAACUAUUUGAUCGAUUCAGUGACGGCUCAUUCAAUCAUCAGUGUGUAUAUGCAGAUAUGAACUUCUACAUUUUUGGAGUUAUGAACCACAAUUAUUUUUUCUCUGGUGUAAUUUAUGAACAAACACAAAAGGCCCAGAUGAAAGAAUAGUCUAAAACAUUUCACAUUAUAUAAAGCUCACUUGAAUCUUCACUGCCCAAUUGUUGUUUACAAAGAAAAACACAUGUUAAUUAAAACAAAAAUAUUGGUAACUAAAUAAAAAUCAUAUGAAUUAUAAAAAAUAAAUUAUCCAAAAACCAUGGUUUGAAAUGUUGUACUGGA